This is a long non-coding RNA of Mauremys reevesii (Reeves's turtle), 166 nucleotides long. RefSeq lists it as uncharacterized. Lineage: Eukaryota; Metazoa; Chordata; Testudines; Geoemydidae. The record is from RefSeq and is a predicted model, not a curated record. The transcript has 3 exons.
UUCCAGGGAGUUCAGUGUGUCCACCAGCAAACUGGCUAUUCCGGAAGAAAACACUAUCCAAAUCCUGUGCACUGACAUCCUGCAAUGUCUGGACACCUCAGUCACUGGAAUGACCCAAGUGUUAUGGCCAAGGCUUCUCGAAUAUGUGGUGCCAGCUCAGUACACU